This is a non-coding RNA of Deinococcus maricopensis DSM 21211, 85 nucleotides long. The record is from Rfam. Lineage: Bacteria; Thermotogati; Deinococcota; Deinococci; Deinococcales; Deinococcaceae.
CUUCACAGACGAGGCAAGGAAACGCGCAGUGCAUCCGGGCACCUGCUGCGCGUCGAGCCAGUGGUGCGACCGACGUCCCCCGCAG